Molecule: transfer RNA, 73 nt
Organism: Marinilactibacillus sp. 15R
Lineage: Bacteria; Bacillati; Bacillota; Bacilli; Lactobacillales; Carnobacteriaceae
Rfam family: tRNA
About the family: Transfer RNA (tRNA) molecules are approximately 80 nucleotides in length. Their secondary structure includes four short double-helical elements and three loops (D, anti-codon, and T loops).
Source: Rfam
UCCGCAAUAGCUCAGUUGGUAGAGCGCGCGACUGUUAAUCGCGUUGUCGCAGGUUCGAGCCCUGCUUGCGGAG